This 207-nucleotide ribosomal RNA is filed under the name uncultured Pseudomonadota bacterium. Its description in RNAcentral is "uncultured proteobacterium partial 16S ribosomal RNA". It matches the Rfam family "Bacterial small subunit ribosomal RNA", at positions 568 to 774 of the family's 1533-position model. Lineage: Bacteria; Pseudomonadati; Pseudomonadota. The record is from RNAcentral.
CGUGUAGGCGGCCUGAUAUGUCAGAUGUGAAAGCCCUGGGCUUAACCCAGGAAGUGCAUUUGAAACUGUCAGGCUCGAGUAGGGGAGAGGGAAGUGGAAUUCCUGGUGUAGAGGUGAAAUUUGUAGAUAUCAGGAGGAACACCGGUGGUGAAGGCGACUUCCUGGCCCUAUACUGACGCUGAGACGCGAGAGCGUGGGUAGCAAACA